Canis lupus familiaris (dog) is the source of this 819-nucleotide long non-coding RNA. RefSeq lists it as uncharacterized. Lineage: Eukaryota; Metazoa; Chordata; Mammalia; Carnivora; Canidae. The record is from RefSeq and is a predicted model, not a curated record. The transcript has 8 exons.
CUUGAUCAUCAUCUGAGCCGAAAUCAAGGGUCGGACACUCAACUGACUGAGCCACUCAGCUACAGAGAAUGGGCUUUGUGCAGAAAGAUGUGUUGAAAAUAUGUUUGGAAUCCUGAUCUUAAACGUACACAUGAAUAAAGCCAAAAUUAGACACGUCGCAUGGGUGUGGAGAGCAUUGCUGCAGAGCAUCUACCUCUUAGUUUGAAAUUUUCACAAGGCUUUUACCUGAAGACAAAUUUGUCUGACUGAUGAUGGCUGACUACACUGCAUUGCAAAAUCAGGUCCAUUGUUCUCCAAAAGAAUUCUCUUGACUGUGUUCACUGGCAAAAGUGCAAUUGUGCAGGAAGUUGCUGGACCCUGAAGACUGCAGCAAGAUAAGAAGCCACAAGUAAAGCUGAAGUCACUACCUGGAGCACCUUCCUGAAAAGGAUUAGGGAUUGGGGUGAUGGUGAAAAAUUCUGGACCUUGAUGGCAGAUUCACUAUCAAAAAGGAGAAGAGAGGAUAUGGAGAAAUUGCACAGGUAAACUCUACUGAGCCAUUCAGUAAAUUCUACUGAACCACUCUAAUUACCAUUUAAUGAUGACUCUUACAACCGAAUUCAACCAAGAUGAGCAAUACCAUCUGCAUGAUAGCUGGAGAGAAAUUUUGGUUGUGGAUCCAUUUCCUUUAUUUGCUGGAAUAAAAACCCUUUCGUUGAGAGGACUCCACUAAAGAUUCAGUCUGGAGCACUUCCAAUAAUCAUACUUUCCUGGGCACCCUGAUUUUUUUUUUUUUUCUGUAUAACAUUUACUAUUUUCUGUUCUCUGUGUCAUUUCUUA